AGGCCUUUGGGCUGUAAACCUCUUUUCUCAAGGAAGAAGACCUGACGGUACUUGAGGAAUAAGCCACGGCUAAUUCCGUGCCAGCAGCCGCGGUAAUACGGGAGUGGCAAGCGUUAUCCGGAAUUAUUGGGCGUAAAGCGUCCGCAGGCGGCCGUUUAAGUCUGUUGUUAAAUCGUGGAGCUCAACUCCAUCACGGCAAUGGAAACUGUUCGGCUUGAGUAUGGUAGGGGCAGAGGGAAUUUCCGGUGUAGCGGUGAAAUGCGUAGAUAUCGGGAAGAACACCAGUGGCGAAAGCGCUCUGCUGGACCAUUACUGACGCUCAUGGACGAAAGCCAGGGGAGCGAAAGGGAUUAGAUACCCCUGUAGUCCUGGCCGUAAACGAUGAACACUAGAUGUUGGGGGAAUCGACCCCCUCGGUGUCGUAGCUAACGCGUUAAGUGUUCCGCCUGGGGAGUACGCACGCAAGUGUGAAACUCAAAGGAAUUGACGGGGGCCCGCACAAGCGGUGGAGUAUGUGGUUUAAUUCGAUGCAACGCGAAGAACCUUACCAAGGCUUGACAUCCUGCGAAUCUCCGAGAAAUUGGAGAGUGCCUUCGGGAACGCAGUGACAGGUGGUGCAUGGCUGUCGUCAGCUCGUGUCGUGAGAUGUUGGGUUAAGUCCCGCAACGAGCGCAACCCACGUUUUUAGUUGCCAGCAUUCAGUUGGGCACUCUAGAAAGACUGCCGGUGACAAACCGGAGGAAGGUGUGGACGACGUCAAGUCAUCAUGCCCCUUACGCCUUGGGCUACACACGUACUACAAUGCUGCGGACAAAGAGUAGUGAUCUUGCGAAAGUUAGCUAAUCUCGUAAACCGUGGCUCAGUUCAGAUCGUAGGCUGCAACUCGCCUACGUGAAGGAGGAAUCGCUAGUAAUCGCAGGUCAGCAUACUGCGGUGAAUACGUUCCCC
This 948-nucleotide ribosomal RNA is filed under the name Candidatus Synechococcus spongiarum. RNAcentral's name for it is "bacterial SSU rRNA". It matches the Rfam family "Bacterial small subunit ribosomal RNA", at positions 412 to 1376 of the family's 1533-position model. The record is from RNAcentral. Lineage: Bacteria; Bacillati; Cyanobacteriota; Cyanophyceae; Synechococcales; Synechococcaceae.